CGGGGUGUAGCGCAGCCUGGUAGCGCACCUGAAUGGGGUUCAGGUGGUCGACGGUUCGAAUCCGUCCACCCCGACCA
RNAcentral lists this transfer RNA (77 nucleotides) under Dehalococcoidia bacterium. RNAcentral describes it as "tRNA-Pro". It matches the Rfam family "tRNA". From Rfam's summary of the family: Transfer RNA (tRNA) molecules are approximately 80 nucleotides in length. Their secondary structure includes four short double-helical elements and three loops (D, anti-codon, and T loops). Lineage: Bacteria; Bacillati; Chloroflexota; Dehalococcoidia. The record is from RNAcentral.